Molecule: ribosomal RNA, 495 nt
Filed under: uncultured bacterium
Lineage: Bacteria
Description: partial 16S ribosomal RNA
Rfam family: Bacterial small subunit ribosomal RNA
Source: RNAcentral
GAUGAACGCUAGCGGGAGGCCUAACACAUGCAAGCCGAGCGGUAUUGUUUCUUCGGAAAUGAGAGAGCGGCGUACGGGUGCGUAACACGUGUGCAACCUGCCUUUAUCUGGGGGAUAGCCUUUCGAAAGGAAGAUUAAUACUCCAUAAUAUAUUGAACGGCAUCGUUUAAUAUUGAAAGCUCCGGCGGAUAGAGAUGGGCACGCGCAAGAUUAGCUAGUUGGUGAGGUAACGGCUCACCAAGGCGAUGAUCUUUAGGGGGCCUGAGAGGGUGAUCCCCCACACUGGUACUGAGACACGGACCAGACUCCUACGGGAGGCAGCAGUGAGGAAUAUUGGUCAAUGGGUGCAAGCCUGAACCAGCCAUCCCGCGUGAAGGACGACUGCCCUAUGGGUUGUAAACUUCUUUUGUAUAGGGAUAAACCUACCCUCGAGAGGGUAGCUGAAGGUACUAUACGAAUAAGCACCGGCUAACUCCGUGCCAGCCGCCGCGGUAA